UAAAAUGCCGUGAAGGAGAAUAGUAAAAAAGUGAUGUUUUACAGAGAGUAAGUCAUGGGUGAGAGACUUAUAAACUAGCUUUUUGAACCCGCUCCGGAGCAUGUGGUGAAGAAACCAUGCGCAGCUGAUCGCGUUACGAUUAGAUGGAGUGAGCCAAUAUUGGCUAAGUAGGGUGGUACCGCGGGUAAACUCUCGUCCCUUGU
RNAcentral lists this non-coding RNA (203 nucleotides) under Thermotalea metallivorans. RNAcentral describes it as "T-box sequence". It matches the Rfam family "T-box leader". Rfam says of the family: Uncharged tRNA acts as the effector for transcription antitermination of genes in the T-box leader family. Lineage: Bacteria; Bacillati; Bacillota; Clostridia; Peptostreptococcales; Thermotaleaceae. The record is from RNAcentral.